GACGAACGCUGGCGGCGUGCUUAACACAUGCAAGUCGAACGGAAAGGCCCUGCUUUUGUGGGGUGCUCGAGUGGCGAACGGGUGAGUAACACGUGAGUAACCUGCCCUUGACUGUGGGAUAACUUCAGGAAACUGGGUCUAAUACCGGAUAGGAGCUCCUGCUGCAUGGUGGGGGUUGGAAAGUUUCGGCGGUUGGGGAUGGACUCGAGGCUUAGCAGCUUGUUGGUGGGGUAGUGGCUUACAAAGGCUUUGACGGGUAGCCGGCCUGAGAGGGUGACCGGCCACAUUGGGACUGAGGUAGGGCCCAGACUCCUACGGGAGGCAGCAGUGGGGAAUAUUCCACAAUGGGCGGAAGCAUGAUGCAGCAACGCCGCGUGCGGGAUGACGGCCUUAGGGUUGUAAACCGCUUUAGCCUGUGACGAAGCGUGAGUGACGGUAAUGGGUAAAGAAGCACCGGCUAACUACGUG
Molecule: ribosomal RNA, 468 nt
Filed under: uncultured bacterium
Lineage: Bacteria
Description: partial 16S ribosomal RNA
Rfam family: Bacterial small subunit ribosomal RNA
Source: RNAcentral